This is a long non-coding RNA of Taeniopygia guttata (zebra finch), 3127 nucleotides long. RefSeq lists it as uncharacterized. Lineage: Eukaryota; Metazoa; Chordata; Aves; Passeriformes; Estrildidae. The record is from RefSeq and is a predicted model, not a curated record.
UUUUUUUUUUGUAGUGUUUUGGUUUUGUUUUGUUUUGUUUGGCUUGGUUUUUUUUAAAUUUUAUUUUAUUCUUAUAUUUUCUCCUUUUGGAGCCGGGCUGGAAGAAGACCAAUGCUUUGUGUCCAGAAUAAAGCCUCAAGGAGCAGAGAAAACCAAGUAAGUGCAGUAUUUUGGGCCGCCACGUUUGACAAGCACACACAGAGGAUGAAGCAGGCUGCCCUCCUGAGCAAUGGUUUUGCCAGGACCUGGCUGCCUUUAAGUCAGGCUGAUGUGGAUCUCCAGUACUGGAGUGAGCACUUGCAUUGUGUUCCAUGGAUGUGUUGUGCUCCCAUUGUUAAUAAUCCUCCUGGGACUAGAAGUGAGGUCAUUUUGUCAAGUUGUUAUAGACUGGCUGCCACUAAUGGGAAGCUCAGUGCAGUGGUUACACCCUGGUAUAUACUGAGCUUGGAUUGAAAAGAAGGGGAUAAACAAUCUCUUUCCCCUUUGAUCAACUGAUGUUACUUUUUUCCUGUUUUUUUCCCUGCCCAAAUGUUAUCUUUGCAGUGCUGAAUCUCUUACUGAGGGUUUUGCUGCAUCAAAUGUUGGGUUUUUUUGGUGAUGUUCCUUCUUUCUUUGAAUACAUGUAAGUAAGAGCGAAUAGUAAUAAUCAUGCUGUGUGUUUGACAGGUUCAGUGGGAUCAUGCUCCAAGCCCAAGAAGGUUUCUUUGAGCAGGGCACCCAAAAUUAACUGUUACCAUGUUAGGAGAUAGGGCUGCCCCGUAUUUGAUACAUGACUAAUGUUCUUCAUGUCAAUAAAGAGAAAGAAGACAUGAGGUUGUUGAGGCUGUGGCUGUGUUUGUUGCAGUUCCCAGCUAGCCUGGGUAUGGGACUGAUAUUUCUUGUAACAUCUUCUCUCCCGGUGAAUCCUGAAGUGAACUAAUAAUUUAGUAGAAAGUCAGCCCAUGGCAGGGGUUAGAAUGAGAGUGUCUUUAAAAUCCCUUUCAACCCAAACCAUUCUGGGAUUCCAUGACUAGACAAGAUGCAAGUGAUCAGUAAAGACCCCACUGUCCACCCAGAAGUGUUGAUGGUCAUGUGCUGUGGACAUAGGUGACCCUGAAAUAGGUGGGAGGUGGACACGUGUUUCAUUGCAGUCCCUGCCUCUCCAAGGCAGGUUAGGAUGUGUGACUGCAGGAGUUCAAUUACAGGUGACCUCGUUAUUUAUCGUACACAGACCUGAUAGAUGCUGCUCCUGUUAUUUUUUCACAGAACAGUCAAUUCCUUGUGUAACUCCUGGUCUGUCUGCACUGUUAGUCCCCAGGGAGAUGCAGAGAUGUGGAUGAUUUUCUUUGUCCAUGGCCUGUGGUCUUUGAUUCCCUGAAAAAUACCUUGGCCAGAAAGUGAUGCUGUGUCUCUUUGUUGUUUCACACAUUGUUAAGCUUUAAAUUACGCUGCUCAAGUCAGGAUUUAAGGUAAUUCUUACUUGUAUUUUACAUUUUUCUUGCAUAUUGGCACACAGAAACACUAAGACUUGUGGUUUUGAUGACAAAUAUUCCCUGCUGCACGGUUAAAUUUGGAGAAUUGAUUGAGGUAUCCAGAACACACCUGCUGAAGUGUUUGGAAGGAAUAAGGACCUUUGCACUUCCAGAUUGAAUUCACAAGUUUUCUCACAGCAAGGGUUAGAAGAAUGUCAUGGCUAUGGGGAGUUUCAUACAUUGUGUGAGUACUGAGGCUGGUGGUAGGAUGCCUCAUUGUGCCCCAUUUCUGCUGGUUCUGUGAGGUGUUUUGAAUUCACUAGGAGCAUCCUUUCCAGCACAGUGGAAUCUGGUGAGAAGGUUAUUACACAUCCUACUGAUUUUCAGAAAGCAACGUGGAAACACCUUUGGUGCAACUAUUUAAAUCUGGUGAACCUUUUGUCCUCAGGACACCUCAGAAAACCUGAGCUCUUCUUUGGAGUCUCAAACUGCAACAGCAGCCAGGCUCCUCUCUGCCUUCUUGCCUCAGUUUAAAGUUGUAUGUAAAGAUAAAGAAAGGUUUUUCUAAUGCUUAUUAUCAUUAUCCAAUACUUUCCUCUGGUUUGAUUGUGUGUGCUGGCUAGAGAUACCCACAUAUGCUGAUAUUGUGGUGGGGGCAUGAGUUACCUGGAUUAAAAGAUGAGUUACCAUGGAUUUGAACCAUGAGCUGCCAUCACUACUUGGAAACCUAGCUGAAGCCAUCAAUAGUGCAGCAAAACCUGGAAAAGCUGCUCUCCGGAGCUGAUGCUGGAAUUCUGAAAGAACAGCAGUUGCCUCUUGUUCACCUUCCAAUACUGUUUAGUUCAACUGGCCCUUGUUUCUCAGGGUUAUGCUGCUGGAAAAUAAAGAAUGUAGUUCUCAUACUGAUGUGUGAGUGUAGUAGAGAUGUGUUAUUUGAAUCUACCAAAUAACGUAAUUUUUAUUUGAUUUGCAGAAUAUUUGUGAUUCAUCUGUUCUGCUGACCUGAUGUGUUUCCCUACAAUGUGUUACCAGUGCUCCAUCAGUGGCUCCAUCACCUGCUGAGUGCUGCCACUGCCAUGAAAGGGUGGAAAAAAUGUCCUUUCUUGCUGGGUUUAUGUGGUUCCUUUUUCCCCCUGUGGGCUGCUGGCAUCUGAUGAACAUGGUGCAGCUCUUGUUUCCUCCUUUGUUUCUUCCUCACUGGGAGACUGUCGUCACAAUGGACAAAACCUACUUAAUUCUGGGAUUUAUCAGAAUAAAAAUUCUACCUGGCCAAGCUGUGGUACAGCUCCUGUGACGGCUGGAUCUUAACUAUACCUUGGGCCCCGGCAGUGUCACAGAAAGGAGAAAUUUUUUAUUCAUAAACUAUAUCCAUUUCACAUUUAUAUAUACUGAAAUUCAAAGUAUUUGUUUUAGAUUGUGUAAUGUUCUACACAGGGCCAGGAGUUUGUUUGGCUUUAAAAAGAGUUUUAGUUAGGUUUAAAAGAGGAGGUUUGGGGUUUAAAAGAGACAGUUUUGUAGCUUUGAAUAGUUUUUGUGUUGUGGUGUAGUUCUGCUUUAACCUAAUGUUGUAUCAAACAUUUUUGUUACGGAAGCCUUUGGAAGAUGGGAGCAGAAAAGAGGAGUUGGCCAAAAUCCUUGUCUUUUCUAGGGAUCCAAUAAAGAAUGGAAGAUACUCA